GACGAACGCUGGCGGCGUGCCUAAUACAUGCAAGUCGAGCGCAGGAAACUGACGGAACUCUUCGGAGGGAAGGCAGUGGAAUGAGCGGCGGACGGGUGAGUAACACGUAAGGAACCUGCCUCAAGGAUUGGGAUAACUCCGAGAAAUCGGAGCUAAUACCGGAUAGUUCAUCGGACCGCAUGGUCCGUUGAUGAAAGGCGCUCCGGCGUCCCCUUGAGAUGGCCUUGCGGUGCAUUAGCUAGUUGUGGGGUAACGGCCCACCAAGGCGACGAUGCAUAGCCGACCUGAGAGGGUGAUCGGCCACACUGGGACUGAGGCACGGCCCAGACUCCUACGGGAGGCAGCAGUAGGGAAUCUUCCACAAUGGACGAAAGUCUGAUGGAGCAACGCCGCGUGAGUGAUGAAGGUUUUCGGAUCGUAAAACUCUGUUGUAAGGGAAGAACACGUACGAGAGGAAAUGCUCGUACCUUGACGGUACCUUACGAGAAAGCCACGGCUAACUACGUGCCAGCCGCCGCGGUAA
This 523-nucleotide ribosomal RNA is filed under the name uncultured bacterium. Its description in RNAcentral is "partial 16S ribosomal RNA". It matches the Rfam family "Bacterial small subunit ribosomal RNA", at positions 28 to 523 of the family's 1533-position model. The record is from RNAcentral.